This 871-nucleotide small RNA is filed under the name Vigna angularis var. angularis. RNAcentral describes it as "Non-protein coding transcript". Lineage: Eukaryota; Viridiplantae; Streptophyta; Magnoliopsida; Fabales; Fabaceae. The record is from RNAcentral.
CUCGAUUCUGCCAUGUCAUAAACACGUUUGAAGUCGGCUUUAGUAUACCACCAACGUUCAAUACGAUGCAGAAUAUGUAAGGACCGGGUGUCCUUUUUAAAUUUUAAAAUGAAAGUGGUGGGGAAGGCCUUCUAAUGGGCGACUGCACGUUUGGAAGGGGGAAAGGGACAGCAGCCAGUGGGAGCUUCAAGUUGUGGACGGCUGGGUGGAGUGGGCAGCUGCACAGUUGAAGUGGAGGGGCUUCCCAUUCAACAAAGUGGGCAGCAGCAGGAGUUGGUGGGUCUUCCCACUUUGAGAGUGCCACAGCCACCAAGGAACACCAUCAUCUCCAUCAAUUAGUGGGAUUUGGCACUAGGAAUGCAGGGGAGUGGCUGAGAGUGCAAGGUUUUCCAUUAAAAAGGGAGAGCCGUGGGUUUGAAGGGGUUGGGUUCGGCAUUUGGAGAAGGAGAGGAAGCUUACUGCAGAUUUGGGAGAAGUGAGACAGAGAACGUCCAGAGCUCUUCUGCAAAUCUUUUGGGAGAAAGAUUCAAGGAGGUCUUCAAGAGACGUUGUUGAAGAGAUCACUUUGGAGCAAGAGCUGGAGGAUACUAAGGUUGCGGAGUAGUCUUCUUAGGAACUUUCCCAUCUGAACACGUGUAGUGUUCGAAUCUUUAAGCUGUUUAAGUUUGGUUUCCCGUUUCUUUUAAUUCUGGAUGACUGUAAUUUUACAUUUAAUUACACGUCAUGUCGGCCCGAAAGAAAGAGUAUUUGAAGUCAUAUAUUGUUUUAUGACAUAAACAACAGCGUGAGAGAAUGCAUUUGCUCACUAUUUCUGCAUGCUCACUAUUCUUAGGUUUUCAAUCUAUUAAAUUGACAGCAAUGAAAAAAGAAA